AUUGAACGCUGGCGGCAUGCCUUACACAUGCAAGUCGAACGGUAGCACGGGAGCAAUCCUGGUGGCGAGUGGCGAACGGGUGAGUAAAGUAUCGGAACGUGCCCAGUCGUGGGGGAUAACGUAGCGAAAGUUACGCUAAUACCGCAUACGAUCUAUGGAUGAAAGCGGGGGAUCGCAAGACCUCGCGCGAUUGGAGCGGCUGAUAUCAGAUUAGGUAGUUGGUGGGGUAAAGGCUUACCAAGCCGACGAUCUGUAGCUGGUCUGAGAGGACGACCAGGCACACGGGGACUGAGACACGGGCCAGACUCCUACGGGAGGCAGCAGUGGGGAAUUUUGGACAAUGGGCGAAAGCCUGAUCCAGCCAUGCCGCGUGCAGGAUGAAGGCCUUCGGGUUGUAAACUGCUUUUGUACGGAACGAAAAGGUUUGGCCUAAUAAGCUGAGCUCAUGACGGUACCGUAAGAAUAAGCACCGGCUAACUACGUGCCAGCCACCGCGGUAA
Molecule: ribosomal RNA, 500 nt
Filed under: uncultured bacterium
Lineage: Bacteria
Description: partial 16S ribosomal RNA
Rfam family: Bacterial small subunit ribosomal RNA
Source: RNAcentral